AACGAACGCUGGCGGCAUGCCUAACACAUGCAAGUCGAACGAGACCUUCGUGUCUAUUGGCGCACGGGUGCGUAACGCGUGGGAACCUGCCCUUAGGUUCGGAAUUACUCCCCUUAAGGGGUGCUAAUACCGGAUAACGUCUUCGGACCAAGGAUUUAUCGCCCUUGGAUGGGCCGUCGUUGUAUUUGCUGGUUGGUAGGGUAAGAGCCUACGAAGGCGACGAUCCAUAGCUGGCAUGAGAGGAUGGUCAUCCACACUAAGACUGAGACACGGCCCAGAAUCGUACAGGAGGCAGCAGUGGGGAAUAUUGUACAAUGGGGGGAGGCCUGAUCGAGCAAUGCCGCGUGAGUGAUGCAGGCGUUAGGGUUGUAAAGCUCUUUUACCCGGGAUGGUAAUGACGGUACCGGGAGAAUAAGCUCCGGCUAACUCCGUG
RNAcentral lists this ribosomal RNA (433 nucleotides) under uncultured bacterium. Its description in RNAcentral is "partial 16S ribosomal RNA". It matches the Rfam family "Bacterial small subunit ribosomal RNA", at positions 29 to 507 of the family's 1533-position model. The record is from RNAcentral.